RNAcentral lists this unclassified non-coding RNA (378 nucleotides) under plant metagenome. RNAcentral's name for it is "partial contains 5.8S ribosomal RNA, internal transcribed spacer 2, and large subunit ribosomal RNA". The stretch from base 1 to 105 matches the Rfam family "5.8S ribosomal RNA", at positions 50 to 154 of the family's 154-position model. The record is from RNAcentral.
GAAAUGCGAUAAGUAAUGUGAAUUGCAGAAUUCAGUGAAUCAUCGAAUCUUUGAACGCACCUUGCGCUCCUUGGUAUUCCUUGGAGCAUGCCUGUUUGAGUAUCAUGAAAUCUUCAAAGUAAAUCUUUUGUUAACUCAAUUGGUUUCUACUUUGGUAUUGGAGGUCUUUGCAGCUCCACACCUGCUCCUCUUUGUUCAUUAGCUGGAUCUCAGUGUUAUGUUUGGUUCCACUCGGCGUGAUAAGUUAUCUAUCGCUGAGGACACUGUAAAAGGUGGCCAAGGUAAAUGCAGAUGAACCGCUUCUAAUAGUCCAUUGACUUGGACAAUACUUUUAUGAUCUGAUCUCAAAUCAGGUAGGACUACCCGCUGAACUUAAGC